GGUGCUUAGCUCAACUGGAAGAGCGUCGCCCUUACAAGGCGAAGGUCGCAGGUUCGA
RNAcentral lists this transfer RNA (57 nucleotides) under Gammaproteobacteria bacterium. RNAcentral's name for it is "tRNA-Val". The stretch from base 7 to 57 matches the Rfam family "tRNA", at positions 8 to 56 of the family's 71-position model. From Rfam's summary of the family: Transfer RNA (tRNA) molecules are approximately 80 nucleotides in length. Their secondary structure includes four short double-helical elements and three loops (D, anti-codon, and T loops). The record is from RNAcentral. Lineage: Bacteria; Pseudomonadati; Pseudomonadota; Gammaproteobacteria.